Molecule: long non-coding RNA, 349 nt
Filed under: Homo sapiens (human)
Lineage: Eukaryota; Metazoa; Chordata; Mammalia; Primates; Hominidae
Description: small nucleolar RNA host gene 1
Source: RNAcentral
CUCAUUUUUCUACUGCUCGUGGAUUUACGCGCACGUUGGAACCGAAGAGAGCUCUGUUGUUGCAAUGUUCAGCCCACAAGAGCUUACUGGUGAAGGAAUGGGACAAGACCCAUCUUUAUGCAAAGCCAGCGUUACAGUAAUGUUCCAGCAUCUCAUAAUCUAUCCUGGGGAAUUCAGCUGCCUCCCAGGGUGAAUACAGGUAUUCCUGAUGACAGUCUGCCUCUAUCUUACACAGCUUGUUGCUAUAUACCAUUGAAAAGCCUUCAGAGCUGAGAGGUACUACUAACCAAUAACCUGCUUGGCUCAAAGGGCCAGCACCUUCUCUCUAAAGCCCAAGAGGAGUUUGAGG